Tribolium castaneum (red flour beetle) is the source of this 1072-nucleotide long non-coding RNA. RefSeq lists it as uncharacterized. Lineage: Eukaryota; Metazoa; Arthropoda; Insecta; Coleoptera; Tenebrionidae. The record is from RefSeq and is a predicted model, not a curated record. The transcript has 2 exons.
CUAUUUAGACCUUUUGAUUUAAGUGUUGGAAUAGCUAUUUACACUCGAAUGCGGUAAGUCACAUUUUACAGCGCGACAACUUUGUUUGAGGCACGAGCCUGAAAGGCGAGUGCCUUAUUAGUUGAAGCGCUGUAAAAUGACUUAACGCAUGAGAUUUGUAUAAAACUUUUUGGCCGACAAGCUUUGGUUUGGUUGAAUCAAUGCGUAUAAAACAAUCAAUGCAUAGAUUCAAUGACAUUUGUGGUUCCCAAACGUAUGUAUAGGUGGCGCUGUUCCGGGGGGAUUUAUAUUUUCACUAAUUAAAUAUACACCAUGGUCGAUUGAAUUAAAUAAUUAUAGUUUACAGCAUCGUGUUUAAAGGUCAAGUUACCUUUCAUGAAUGGGCAACUGUCAUUCACGUUUUACAGUACUGGAGGCCAAAAUAGCUAUUUACACUCGAAUGCGGUAAGUCACAUUUUACAGCGCGACAACUUUGUUUGAGGCACGAGCCUGAAAGGCGAGUGCCUUAUUAGUUGAAGCGCUGUAAAAUGACUUAACGCAUGAGAUUUGUAUAAAACUUUUUGGCCGACAAGCUUUUAAUAUUAUUCUUUAUAAAAUAAAUAAAAACUCAAAGUCAAUCAAUGCAUAGAAUCAAUGACAUUUGUGGUUCCCAAACGUAUGUAUAGGUGGCGCUGUUCCGGGGGGAUUUAUAUUUUCACUAAUUAAAUAUACACCAUGGUCGAUUGAAUUAAAUAAUUAUAGGUAACAAGUAUUUCGUUAUACGAACUUAAUUAUGGUAAGCACGGUUUGUAUCUUAAACAUGUCUAAUCGUCCAGUGUUUUGUGGUUACUUUACCUAAUUGUUUGCUACCAGUUUACAGCAUCGUGUUUAAAGGUCAAGUUACCUUUCAUGAAUGGGCAACUGUCAUUCACGUUUUACAGUACUGGAGGCCAAAAAAUAUAUAUUUGUCAAUUAAUGCUACUCAUUUUAUUUUUAAUUUACAUAAGUAAGAAAUUUAUUAAAUGAUUUAUCAGAUGAUCGUUCAGGAUUCUUCUUAGAUUAUAUAAGUGGACUUGAGCGGUUGCUACAAAUA